UGUUAAAAAUUUUAUCAACUCGUAUUGUUAAAUACCGAUGAAAAAAUCAGAUAAUGACAUAUGGCACACUACAUGUACCUCAUGCUAAUAUAUAAAGACCAGUUUUUAAUAGUAGAAAUGGAUAAAAUUUUUAGCA
Gossypium raimondii (Peruvian cotton) is the source of this 136-nucleotide non-coding RNA. The record is from Rfam. NCBI's taxonomy places the organism in Eukaryota, Viridiplantae, Streptophyta, Magnoliopsida, Malvales, Malvaceae.